Molecule: unclassified non-coding RNA, 23 nt
Filed under: Mus musculus (house mouse)
Lineage: Eukaryota; Metazoa; Chordata; Mammalia; Rodentia; Muridae
Description: oocyte_clustered_small_RNA13388
Source: RNAcentral
UGUGAUGUUCCUGUGGCCCCCAG